GAUGAACGCUGGCGGCGUGCCUAACACAUGCAAGUCGAGCGGCAGCGAGGGGUGCUUGCACCCUGUCGGCGAGCGGCGGACGGCUGAGUAACGCGUGGGAACGUGCCCCAAAGUGAGGAAUAACUGCCCGAAAGGGUAGCUAAUACCGCAUAUUAUCUUCGGAUCAAAGGAUUUAUCCGCUUUGGGAGCGGCUCGCGUCGGAUUAGGUAGUUGGUGAGGUAAUGGCUCACCAAGCCGACGAUCCGUAGCUGGGCUGAGAGGAUGACCAGCCAGACUGGAACUGAGACACGGUCCAGACUCCUACGGGAGGCAGCAGUGAGGAAUCUUCCACAAUGGGCGAAAGCCUGAUGGAGCAACGCCGCGUGCAGGACGAAGGCCUUCGGGUUGUAAACUGCUUUUAUAAGUGAGGAAUAUGACGGUAACUUAUGAAUAAGGAUCGGCUAACUACGUG
Molecule: ribosomal RNA, 451 nt
Filed under: uncultured bacterium
Lineage: Bacteria
Description: partial 16S ribosomal RNA
Rfam family: Bacterial small subunit ribosomal RNA
Source: RNAcentral